AGGGUGUAAACGCUGCAGACUUGGUGUUGGAGGCCCUUUGGGGGGCAUUCAGUGCCGGAGAGAAGUUGUUAAGUCUGCUACUUGGGGAGUACGUCCGCAAGGAUGAAACUUAAAGGAAUUGGCGGGGGAGCACCGCAACGGGAGGAGCGUGCGGUUUAAUUGGAUUCAACACCGUAAACUCACCAGGGAAGACUGUUACAUGAAGGCCGAGAUGAAGACUCUGCUAGAUUUUCGGAGAGGUGGUGCAUGGCGUCAGUGACU
RNAcentral lists this ribosomal RNA (261 nucleotides) under uncultured archaeon. RNAcentral describes it as "partial 16S ribosomal RNA". It matches the Rfam family "Archaeal small subunit ribosomal RNA", at positions 748 to 1008 of the family's 1478-position model. The record is from RNAcentral.